This 482-nucleotide ribosomal RNA is filed under the name uncultured bacterium. Its description in RNAcentral is "bacterial SSU rRNA". It matches the Rfam family "Bacterial small subunit ribosomal RNA", at positions 28 to 517 of the family's 1533-position model. The record is from RNAcentral.
GAUGAACGCUAGCGACAGGCUUAACACAUGCAAGUCGAGGGGCAGCGAGAAAGUGCUUGCACUUUUGUCGGCGACCGGCGCACGGGUGAGUAACACGUAUGCAACCUGCCCUUGUCAGGGGGAUAAGCGGGGGAAACCCCGUCUAAUACCGCAUAUAUGGUUUGGAGGCAUCUCUAAAUCAGGAAAGAAUUAUCGGACAAGGAUGGGCAUGCGGGACAUUAGGUAGUUGGGGGGUGUAACGGACCACCAAGCCGACGAUGUCUAGGGGUUCUGAGAGGAAGGUCCCCCANACUGGUACUGAGACACGGACCAGACUCCUACGGGAGGCAGCAGUGAGGAAUAUUGGUCAAUGGGCGAGAGCCUGAACCAGCCAAGUCGCGUGAGGGACGAAGGCCCCUCGGGGUUGUAAACUUCAGUCAACAGGGAAGAAACAAAUGACGGUACCUGUGGAGGAAGCCAGGCUAACUACGUGCCAGCAGCCG